CAAAAAAAUAAGAGAUACUGGUCUAAAAGCAUUCAUGUAAAACUAUACAUAUAUUCACAUAUACAAUCUUACAAAUGGAAGAUUAAAAACAUGUCAAUUUCCUUCUGGCAUUUAAAGUGACAGAACUUUCACUUUGGAACUGUGCCUCAAGCAAAAUGAAAAAGAAGUCAAUGGAUUCAAGCUCUUUAAAACUUUCACAAAAAAAGCAUGAUCACCUGAAAAGAUAAUACUGUGUUCCUUCCUUGAGAUUCUGCAGCAUUUCAAGAUUCCAAAAUUUAGGUGUUCUUCAAUCUGAAUGAUUCCUGGUGAAAACAUUUUAUUUUGUGGGGUUGUUGCUUAAAGUUAAUGUCUAAACUCUAAUAACAAACAUCAAGACCAUAACA
Long non-coding RNA from Sarcophilus harrisii (Tasmanian devil), 383 nucleotides. RefSeq lists it as uncharacterized. The transcript is spliced from 3 exons. The record is from RefSeq and is a predicted model, not a curated record. NCBI's taxonomy places the organism in Eukaryota, Metazoa, Chordata, Mammalia, Dasyuromorphia, Dasyuridae.